GUUACUCAGGAAGGUGAUGAGAAGGAGAUGCCGGAACAAGGUGCUGAGAUGCUGCAAGAUGACGAGCCCGCAGGUAACCUUCACGACGAGCACACUGCUGAUGACGCGAGUGCUGGAGGCCAGGUCGGUGUAUCGAGGGCUCGAGAUGGCGCUGAUUGAGGUUGUUGCUGCGACUGGGCAGUUGACCACAGGUUGAUCAUCAAUACGGUACUGCUAACUUGUGGCUCUGUAUGUCUGUAAUAUGGUCAUCUAACAUUAACAUGGAGUUUAUCUUGUGUGCCUUGAUCUGGCAAUGAUCGGUUCGUCCGUCGGAUGAGGUAGCAAGAGUAUUAGCUUCAUUUGUUUUUUGCUAGUUUAAUUAUGACUAUGUGGUAAGUCAGAGUGAUUGUGAUCUUGCUGUAUGCCUGCCCCAUGUGGCAUGAAUGGAACCAGUCAGGUACUAUGACUAUGAAUUAAGGAGGGUAAUGAUCUACUCCACGAGCAGUGGCAAAAGUGAAGUGAAUGUGCUAGUACUUUUUAUGGUGUAGUCAAGAGGAUCUGAUUGUCCUUUUCUUUGCCUAUUACAAAACAGAGUUACUUUUGGUUCUGUGUCAAUCUGGUUUUUCAGUGUAUUUAUUUGAGCCAAGUUUGUUGAGAGCACUCAGUAAACAUGCUUCCUCUGUAAAUGGAGAAUUCAUCAUCGUGCUCAUUCAGUAAACAACCAACGCAGGCAGCGGCGACCAAGGCCUUGCAAAAUAGAAGAAGCUCUUGCCGAUGCAAACAACCUCCGAUGUCACCCCGUCCUGCUCUUAUCCCUGGGAGAAAUGACAUGCAUACCCCUCUGAAAUCACAUUCCUCUAACCUGCCUCUUGGUUGAAUGCCCAUGCCAUUAGCGUCAUUUCCUGGCUGGAUCAUGAGGAAGUGGCAGUGUGCACACUGCAUCCCCAUGAUUCCAUGACACCAUACCUUUCAGUGCAAAGCUGGCCUUAGCUCAUGAAACGCAUGCAACAUUCUUGAUCGAACAGCACCAUUUGCAUUGUGUAAGUUUGAGUCAAGUACUCAAGUAUGUGGCCAGCAUUACUAGUGUAGUUAAUUAAGUAAAGCAAAUUAAAUUAAACGGGGGUGUGGAUUUUGAAAUCCUUCACACCUUUGUUGCAUCCCACCUACUCGGCGAUGAUACCGGUGCGGCGAUCGGAUAAAAGAGAGAGUACAGCCAUUCUAAUCGCCAGAUUUUCACCAGUAAUUGGGCACUUGCAUUUCUGAAGUGCAUCCCCAAAAUGGCAUAGAGGUGUAUGGCCCUAUGUUUUGCUGAUGAUGCAAUGCAACACCCUUGCUGCAGCCAGCAGCCUUCAGUUGUGAUGGUUCUUCAGUUAGCGGUUGCUUUCAACUGAUACACACCGUUUUUCCGGAUCGGUCCAUUUGCCGGCCGAUCGCUGAGCAGCCUUUAGUGAAAGAUAGCUUUCUUCUGAGCCCAUCCAAGAACAACCAUGACAUUGACACCAAGCAGUCUAGGUUUAUGUAAUUCUGUUAGCUCACACUUGACUCUGCUUGCUGAUGGACUGAUGGUCAUGAUGGUAGUGGUACUAGUACUAGUACUAUAUAAUGUACUGUACUGCCUUUGCUGCUUGCAAUCGUGUGUAGUCUGAAGUUUCUUGCAGCCGGUGACAUCAACAAAUCCUAUGCUGAUUCCUGGCAGCAGAGAAACCCUUGCGUAUGCAUGGAUUGAAUUGAUUGCAACCUGCUUCGAUCGAUGUGUCACUCUCACUCACUUGCUCAGUCCUAGGACAAGCUGCUGACCACUGCGCACUGGUGGUGAGCUGAGCNNNNNNNNNNNNNNNNNNNNNNNNNNNNNNNNNNNNNNNNNNNNNNNNNNNNNNNNNNNNNNNNNNNNNNNNNNNNNNNNNNNNNNNNNNNNNNNNNNNNNNNNNNNNNNNNNNNNNNNNNNNNNNNNNNNNNNNNNNNNNNNNNNNNNNNNNNNNNNNNNNNNNNNNNNNNNNNNNNNNNNNNNNNNNNNNNNNNNNNNNNNNNNNNNNNNNNNNNNNNNNNNNNNNNNNNNNNNNNNNNNNNNNNNNNNNNNNNNNNNNNNNNNNNNNNNNNNNNNNNNNNNNNNNNNNNNNNNNNNNNNNNNNCAUCAUCGGCGGUGUGGCUGUUCAUGGCCAUGGAGGGGGAGGCUGCGCUCAGGCCGCUCGUCGGCGGCGCCCACGGCUGGGACUACUGCAUCUACUGGCGCCUCUCUCCUGACCAGAGGUAUGGACGUGUGUGCGUGUGUGUGUGUGUUCGACUGUUCAAUGUUCAUACAAUUCUUGCAGCUAGAGCCUAGAGCUUGAUGGUGAUGAUCCAUGGCAGGUUCUUGGAGAUGACGGGGUUCUGCUCCAGCCCGGAGUUCGAGGCGCAGGUGGCCGCGCUCGGCGACAUCCCUUCCUCCAUCCCUCUCGACUCCUCCGAUUAAAGAGGCACAUGCAAUUGCCUGCCGGCCAUGUCGAUCGCCGUUAAUUUUUGGUCGGAGCUCUGCUGACGGUUGAUUUUGUUGGUUGGUCAGGAUGUAUUGGGAUUAAACAAGACCUCCGAGUACACGUCUGUGUACGUAUCGGAGUUGUACUCCCCAGUAGGAUCCGACUAGGAGUAGUUUGCUUAUGCUAGCCAACUGUCAUAACUGGUGGGACUACUCUAGCAUGGGUGAGUGAUCUUAUAGAUGAAGAGAAUUGGUCUUGGAAGAUAGACUUGAUUCGAGACGUGUUCAUCCCCCCGGAAGCAGAAGCUAUACUUAAUAUACCGCUGCGUCACGGAGGAGGCGAUGAUUUCCUUGCUUGGGCCCAUGAAAGAAAUGGCAACUACUCUGUCAAAUCUGCGUACCGUGCUCUCGUGACUCGCAAAGAGCGUGUAGCUCUAGAGGAAGGGACGGCUACAAGUACCUCACAGACUGAUGGACAGAUGUGGAAGCGAUUAUGGAAGCUCAAGGUUUUGCCAAAAGUGCGUGUAUUCUGGUGGCGAGUGGUGCGGGAAAUAUUACCAGAUGAAUGCACUCUGAAGCGUAGACAUAUACAAGAAAUUGGAAGAUGCAAAGUGUGUUUGGCAAUGGAUGAGGAUUUGAUGCACGCUCUAGUGCAUUGCCCCCAUGCAAAAAUGUUCUGGGAAGAAGCCUAUGAUUGGCUGGGUGUACGCCGGCCUCGGCUUCAUCCCGAUACGUGGGCGCGAGACAUCUUGUCUGACUCACAGUUCACGGAUAUGCAAAGGUCUCAGAUGAUUUCUGUUACGUGGGCGAUCUGGCAUUCAAGAAACAGAAUUACACAUGAUGGAGAGAAGCUGGACCCAGUAACGACUAUUAGGCGGAUCAAGGAUGAUCUGGCCGUGUUGGAUAUACCCCAAGCUGCGGCUGCUAUACUACCAGGAUUCGGUUGGAUUCCUCCGGAUCCAGGUGUGAUUAAGAUUAAUACAGAUGCAGCAAUGAGUUUGGUCUCGGCAAGGUGUGGUGCAGGGGGAGUUGCUCGUUCUGACGAACGCUUGCUGGGUUCUUGGAGUAAACCUCAUCAUGGAGUUACAAAUCCGUUCAUUGGUGAAGCACUAGCGCUGAGAGAUGGUGUUAUUUUUGCAAGUUUGCGCGGUUUUUCACACGUGAUCAUGGAGACCGACUGCCUGGAGGUAGUGAACCUCUGGACAUCUCGCCACAGUAAUCGCUCUGCUGUGGCACCUUUACUUGUAGAAAUUGGAGAGCUAGCGGCAAAUUUUACUUCUUUUCGUAUUCAACAUGUAAGCAGGUCAGCCAACGUACCGGCCCAUCUUUGUGCUAAGCAUGCAUGCUCACUGAUGGUAACCGAGAGUUGGACUGACACUAGACCUGCGUUCCUGCUCACUAGCCUAAUGGCUGAUGAUGGCAGAUUUUCUUCAGUUGAAUAAAGCUUUCUAGUUUUGAACGCAAAAAAAGGCAUAUAUAUAUAUAUAUAUAUAUAUAUAUAUAUAUUAGAUGACCCGUUGUGCCCAUGGCGCAAAGGCCGGAAGCAAACCAAGUAUUUGACAGAGUGAACAUUAAAAUAUUUAGACACAGAUUAAACAUAUGGAAAUGAGUAGUUACUGCUGGUAGAUAGUUGCUUACUGAUGAUACAUAGUGUUCUAAGAAGUUUACAAAUGAUUAUUUACAAUGUUAUUAGCAAGGAAGUAGAUAGCCAGAGAUAUAUCAUAUAGACGCUAUGAAUUGAAGAAUAUUAGAUAGACCCAUUGCCGCGCGUUUCAUCAGUAUUGACAACAACUUUCUUGUCCAGGCAACUCUUCAUAGUAGUUGCGAUUGGUGACUCACAUUGCCCAGAGCAGAAAUUCCUUCAAUAUGUAGUCGACUGGUGGAGCUCCGCGAUGAUCGGCUCUCCACCAUCACUACAGAAAAGCUUCGCCUCCCUUGGCAUACUCAUUAUAUGGAGCAUUUCGAAGCACCGCAACUCCAUGGUAUUUGAUACUGCUCGCCCCUCCAUGGAUCUGGUGAUCCAGAGCAUUCUCGAUGAGGCACGUUCUUGGGCCUUGGCCGGGGCUAGGGGAUUUGUGGUGAUCACCCAAUUUGAGCCACCAUAGGCGUGCACCUGUUUGUGUUUGAGCUGAGCACCCCGGCUUCUUCUGCUCAUUGUAGAUCCAUCCUCGCCCUCCGGUGUACGAGCUAUGUAUCUACCACCUUGUAACUCUUGUUCUCCUACCUAUCAAUGAAAUGAUACACAACUUGUGUAUUCACGAGAAAAAAGGACAGAGGCCACCCAAGUGAGAACAAUGACCAACACGAGGAAAUCCAUUUAAGCAGUGCCAAAGGCGGAAAAUAGUAGAGAUGGAAAAACAAUUUUGCAAGCAUCAAAGCAGUCCAUGGCCUCUGCCACACCGAUCAAGAAGCAAGAAAAACACUACAUUGAACUAUAGUUUUUGUUAGACCUCAUGUCCAGAACAGUGUGACCGUUUAUUGCAGUUCAAAAUUCUCAUUGAUCAUAGAGUGAAAUGAGCAUCUAUGAAUAAAGAGCGUGCAGUAAGAAAUGUGUGCACUGUACUGCCAAAUUUCUUGACUGACUCUACCAACCUCACAUACUUUCUCCUGCUAGCGAUGUCCGUGUUCCUACAAAGGGAAGCAAAACAUUCAACUAUUACCACUCCACUUCCAGUAUAUAUAUGGUACCAACAGCUUGGCAUAGAAUCUAAUGUUUUCCUGUGAGUUCAUGUAUCGGCCAUUGGGAGAAUAUUACAGGGUGGAGGCAGAAGGAGAAUAAUUAAAUAGCAAGACCGUACAUGAAAAUAAGCUGCAACAUGCAACUCAUGAAGUAAAAAAGAGAUCUUACUUCUCAAAUGUGCUUCAUAGCCAUCCAAAUACACUCUUUUUGUAAACUUAUACAUUGUUUAUCCCAAACCGUUUGGAACUCAUACAACAGCAGCACUAUUUCUGCAGAAAUUAUCAAAGCCAACAGUUUUAGCAUGUCUGCGUCUCACACUCGAGAUUUAUAUAUUUAUAUUCAUUACUGCUAGCAAACAAAGAAACUAUCGUACCUAAUAAAGCAAGGAUCAGGAAUGGUCUAUUAAACCAACAAACUGAACAGAUCUUUUAAAACCACUCCUAGAGAGCACGAGCAGCAGAGGUCAAAUAUAUUUCGAGCCCAAAGCACUCAACCUUAGCAUGCUAGCAUCAGAAACUAAUGUAGAGAAGAACAGCUGCCAUUAAAUGUUCUGCAAAUCUAGUAGAUCAUCAAUUGGACAGAUAUAAUGAGAAGACAUUUGUGACAAAGAGAAAGAAAGCUUUCGACGAACAGCACCACAUGGAGGUGCCUCGCUACUGGUUGUACCGAGCUUUUGACGGACAGGACAAUGGGGAGGCAUGGCUCUACUGGUAGGACAUAAGCAAUGGGAGGUCCGUCGGCAAGAAGCACGCAGCACACCGAAACAGAAAUACUAACUGGAGAAAUCUUGACGAUUUAAAAAUAAAUAAACUGCUGCAACAAAAGAAGCUUAUAAUCAAUCGAGUUGUGGAGUUGUUUAUAUGAAGAAGGAUCACCAAAGGAAAUAGUAGAUCAAGAAAGAAAACCAAAAAACACAUUAGAAAGUAAACAUGGGGCAAAAUGAAUAAAGUAAAACCAAGGCAGAGGUCACCCAAGGCAGAACAUCAAACAGUGCGAGAAAGGAACAUCAAAGAAACACUAAAGAGAGAAAACAGCGAAGAGGAAAAAAGUCCACGCAAAUAUAAAAAGAAGCCAUGCCCAUGGCCUCCAAAAAACUGAUCAAGAAGCGGAAAAAACAGUACACCGAUCAACCAAUGCAUUUUUCAGAUUUAGAACAUACCUAGGAACUUUUUUUUUGAGAAACCGAACAUACUUAGGAACUACCCCAUUGGGCUACCAUUGGUGAAGUAUCUUGAUUCUUUCUAUAACAUAGUACGGUAAAAGGAAAGGCACAGACACAGUUUACACCCACAACCCCGAAACAAUAUCAACCAUGACCCACAGAAUAAAGGUAAAACCUUGUAAAUUCUUAAUAAAAAAUACACCCAUUGGGCUUAUAAUCAAGCAAGGUACUCCCUCUGUAAAGAAAUAUAAAAGCGUUUGGAUCACUAUUUUAGUGAUGUAGACACUCUUAUAUUUCUUUAUGAAGGGAGUAACAUAUAUCUUUUCUUAGAUAAUACCUCAAACAGAACAUUAUAUGUACAUCUCACACUACAGGGAAAAAGACCAUACUAUACAUCUACAUCACUACCAGAAAAACUGGGGUUGCCGACGGCCAAAUAUAUGCCGACGGCCCCCGUCGGCAUCGCCGGACAUAUGCCGACGGCCAAGGAUAGGCCGUAGGCGUAGAAAAGCCGUCGGCAUACAUCCAUCUAUGCCGACGGGGCCAUCGGCAUAGACGAGGCCGUCGGGACCGCCCGAGAUACGCCUACGGGGCCCGUCGGCAUAGGUCAGGCCAUCGGCAUAGCACGGGCCCACCUGCCCGGUCAGCGCUGACCAUUUGACGGUGUUGAACCUACGCCGACGGGUGGUAACGGCGGCCGUCGGCAUAUCUGUGGCAAAGGUAUGCCUACGGCAUAGCCGUCGGCAUAGGCCCCUCUGCCACGUCAACGAUCCGUGUGCCACGCCACGUAAUCGAUCCGUGUGUGCGCAGGUAUGCCGACGGCCUUGCCGUCGGCAUAUGUUUACUUUACUUACUUUUUUAAAUUUAUCUAUGGCAGAGGUAUGCCUACGGCACAGCCGUCGGCAUAGGCCCCUUCGCCACGUCAUCGAUCGUUGUGCCGCGCCACGUCACCGAUCCAUGGGACAACCUCCGUGUAUGCACAUAUAUGUUAACGGCCUUGCCGUCGGCAUACGUGGGCAUUACUUUAUUUUUUUAUUUUUACUUUGUUUUGUUAUUUUUACUUUAUUUUAGUUUUUGCUUUUGCAUAAGAUAAUUAUGCCUUAUCUAAAAAACAAACCCGAUGGUAUAUCGAUUGCCCCCCGUUACGAACGUCGCUAUCGCCGUGUCACGGAGGGGGGAAACGGUCGACACGGAAGGAAUUCUGGUUGGUGGGGGGUUCGGGAUCUUGCUGUGGGUCUGGCCCGGAUGUUGCUCCAAAGUGUUCCUAUGGGCUGACCUAACACAACCGGGUAGGGAGGUCCACUGGUCAAAGUCCGUCUGUGCAAAGUCAAAGGGCUAGAUCCCGUGGUCAAACGCUACAGGGUUAGGCGGGACAGGGGCACUGGGGGGAGGGGGUAGCAAUGCCACCGGAGCGUCGCACCGGGCCCUCAUACAUGCGGGGUGGUUGUGUGGCAUGUCCGAAGAGGCGGGACGCGUCUCCGGGGCGUGGCCCCCCCUCACGGACGGCGAUGACACGGUAGUAGACGUUCUGCGGUAACGAUGCGGCGUCAAUAUUACUAAAUACUCGGAGCGCGAUAAAAUCAUGAGUUUUUUUGCACGACGCGGGCACAUAUGCUAUAGGAACGAUGGUAUUUUUUCAUAAUUUUCGGUGAUGGAGAAGUAUCCGAAAAAUUCCCUCUACGCGGAUUGCCCUUCAUGCGUCUACGGCUGUGGCCGGCGGCCUCCGGGGGCUAGCAUGCCGCCAAAUCUUGCGUAGGUGGCCUCUCACAAGUCUGGAAGUGUUGUGGCGGUUGCAAACGCCCGGCACGCGUGUCCGGGGUGUGCCCCCCCUCACGGACGGCGCCGCCGCCGGCACCUGGAGGGGGGAAACGGAUGCGUGGGGUCUACACGGAGGGGAUCUUGCUGUGGGUCUGGCCCGGAUGUUGCUCCAAAGUGUUCCUAUGGGCUGACCUAACACAACCGGGUGGGGAGGUCCACUGGUCAAAGCCCGUCCGUGCAAAGUCAAAGGGCUAGAUCCCGUGGUCAAACGCUAUAGGGUUAGGCGGGACAGGGCACUGGGGGGUAGCAAUGCCACCGGAGCGUCGCACCAGGCCCUCAUACAUGCGGGGUGGUGUGGUGGCAUGUCCGAAGAGGCGGGACGCGUCUCCGAGGCGUGCCCCCCCCCUCACGGACGGCGAUAACACGGUAGUAGACGUUCUGCGGUAACGAUGCGGCGUCAAUAUUACUAAAUACUCGGAGCGCGAUAAAAUCAUAAGUUAUUUUGCACGACGCGGGCACAUGUGCUAUAGGAACGAUGGUAUUUUUUCAUAAUUUUUGGUGAUGGAGAAGUAUCCGAAAAAUUCCCUCUACGCGGAUUGCCCUUCGCGCGUCUACGGCUGUGGCCGGCAGCCUCCGGGGGCUAGCAUGCCGCCAAAUCUUGCGUAGGCGGCCUCUCACAAGUCUGGAAGUGUUGUGGAGGUUGCAAAUGCCCGGCACGCAUGUCCGGGGUUUGCCCCCCCUCACAGACGGCGCCGUCGCGGACACCUGGAGGGGGGAAAUGGACGCGUGGGGUCUACACGGAGGGGAUCUUGCUGUGGGUCUGGCCCGGAUGUUGCUCCAAAGUGUUCCUAUGGGCUGACCUAACACAACCGGGUGGGGAGGUCCACUGGUCAAAGCCCGUCCGUGCAAAGUCAAAGGGCUAGAUCCCGUGGUCAAACGCUACAGGGUUAGGCGGGACAGGGGCAUUGGGGGGGGGGGUAGCAAUGCCACCGGAGCAUCGCACCGGGCCCUCAUACAUGCGGGGUGGUGUGGUGGCACGUCCGAAGAGGCGGGACGCGUCUCCGGGGCGUGGCCCCCCCUCACGGACGGCGAUGACACGGUAGUAGACGUUCUGCGGUAACGAUGCGGCGUCAAUAUUACUAAAUACUCGGAGCGCGAUAAAAUCAUGAGUUUUUUUGCACGACGCGGGCACAUGUGCUAUAGGAACGAUGGUAUUUUUUCAUAAUUUUUGGUGAUGGAGAAGUAUCCGAAAAAUUCCCUCUACGCGGAUUGCCCUUCGCGCAUCUACGGCUGUGGCCGGCGGCCUCCAGGGGCUAGCAUGCCGCCAAAUCUUGCGUAGGCGGCCUCUCACAAGUCUGGAAGUGUUGUGGCGGUUGCAAACGCCUGGCACGCGUGUCCGGAGUGUGCCCCCCUCACGGACGGCGCCGCCGCCGGCACCUGGAGGGGGGAAACGGACGCGUGGGGUCUACACGGAGGGGAUCUUGCUGUGGGUCUGGCCUGGAUGUUGCUCCAAAGUGUUCCUAUGGGCUGACCUAAUAUAACCGGGUGGGGAGGUCCACUGGUCAAAGCCCGUCCGUGCAAAGUCAAAGGGCUAGAUCCCGUGGUCAAACGCUACAGGGUUAGGCGGGACAGGGGCACUGGGGGUAGCAAUGCCACCGGAGCGUCGCACCGGGCCCUCAUACAUGCGGGGUGGUGUGGUGGCAUGUCCGAAGAGGCGGGACGCGUCUCCGGGGCGUGGCCCCCCCUCACGGACGGCAAUGACACGGUAGUAGACGUUCUGCGGUAACGAUGCGGCGUCAAUAUUACUAAAUACUCGGAGCGCGAUAAAAUCAUGAGUUUUUUUGCACGAUGCGGGCACAUGUGCUAUAGGAACGAUGGUAUUUUUUCAUAAUUUUUGGUGAUGGAGAAGUAUCCGAAAAAUUCCCUCUUCGCGGAUUGCCCUUCGCGCGUCUACGGCUGUGGCCGGCGGCCUCCGGGGGCUAGCAUGCCGCCAAAUCUUGCGUAGGCGGCCUCUCACAAGUCUGGAAGUGUUGUGGCGGUUGCAAACGCCCGGCACGCAUGUCCGGGGUGUGCCCCUCCUCACGGACGGCGCUGCCCCGAGAACACCAUGGACCAGCCGGACAGCAGCAACCCAUUAUUUAUAUCUGGGCGAUCGGUCCUGACAAUGGGCAAACACCAUACAUUUACACUAUUCUCGUAGCUGUAUAUGGGUCCGUAUAAGGUGAAAAAGCCUGACAGGAGUGAAUCACGAUGCAUAUUCCCACGAGGAGGAUACCGAGCUGCCUGACGCUCGGCCUCUGCAAUACCACUCUCGGGUAAACCCAAGGUACUUGCACGGAAGGGAGACCAGUUGCACAGAUAAAGUAUCACUCACAUCGAGCCCAUUGCAGCUAAUAGGGUAAGCCACUGUUGGGAGUUAUACUCUCCACUUUUUUUGGCAGGAGUUAUAUGAAGAGAAUAGGUGUUGCGACGGUCAAACUAGUGUGCUUGGGAAUAUGAGAAGUCUAAAAAUGCAACCCAGGCUUAAAUGACAGUUGCCUUCAUAACUUUUGGCCCGUGUGUGCCCUUCCAGUCCCUGGACGCUUUCUCUUCUCCAUAAGUAAGACCACCGGACGAGCAUUCCCUUGUACGUUCGUCUACAGCGCAGCAACCUCCAGCACCGCGGUGAGCUUCUUCUACCUAGUUGCUCACCGUGAGGGAGAAGUACCCUGGAAGGGACCGCAUCCACAUUGCCGACGGAUCAGGUUUGCACAUAGCUCAUUGUGGCAUGCUCUCCUUCCUACUCCCUCUGCCAACCGGAGACGCGUCCCGCCUCUUCGGACAUGCCACCACACCACCCCGCAUGUAUGAGGGCCCGGUGCGACGCUCCGGUGGCAUUGCUACCCCCCAAGUGCCCCCGUCCCGCCUAACCCUGUAGCGUUUGACCACGCGAUCUAGCCCUUUGACUUUGCACGGACGGGCUUUGACCAGUGGACCUCCCCACCCGGUUGUGUUAGGUCAGCCCAUAGGAACACUCUGGAGCAACAUCCGGGCCAGACCCACAGCAAGAUCCCCUCCGUGUAGACCCGACGCGUCCGUUUCCCCCCUCCAGGUGCCGGCGGCGGCGCCGUCCGUGAGGGGGGGGCACACCCCGGAGACGCGUGCCGCCUCUUCGGACAUGCCACCACACCACCCCGCAUGUAUGAGGGCCCAGUGCGACGCUCCGGUGGCAUUACUACUCCCCCACGGCCCCCGUCCUGCCGUGUAGACCUCACGGGCGUGGCUGCCGCCGUGUCCCGAAGGGGGGAAACGGCCACGUCGGGCCGACACGGAGGGUAUCUUUGGGUGGUUUGGGCCGAAAUGGUGUUGGGGGGUGCAGCACAUGCCGUAAAAAAAAUAAAAAAAAUGCCGUAACAAAAAAAAAA
RNAcentral lists this long non-coding RNA (11435 nucleotides) under Triticum aestivum (bread wheat). Its description in RNAcentral is "long non-coding RNA (TAES_LNC009814)". The record is from RNAcentral. Lineage: Eukaryota; Viridiplantae; Streptophyta; Magnoliopsida; Poales; Poaceae.